GAUGAACGCUGGCGGCGUGCCUAAUACAUGCAAGUCGAGCGAACAGACGAGGAGCUUGCUCCUCUGACGUUAGCGGCGGACGGGUGAGUAACACGUGGAUAACCUACCUAUAAGACUGGGAUAACUUCGGGAAACCGGAGCUAAUACCGGAUAAUAUAUUGAACCGCAUGGUUCAAUAGUGAAAGACGGUUUUGCUGUCACUUAUAGAUGGAUCCGCGCCGCAUUAGCUAGUUGGUAAGGUAACGGCUUACCAAGGCAACGAUGCGUAGCCGACCUGAGAGGGUGAUGGGCCACACUGGAACUGAGAAACGGUCCAGCCUCCUACGGGAGGCAGCAGUAGGGAAUCUUCCGCAAUGGGCGAAAGCCUGACGGAGCAACGCCGAGUGAGUGAUGAAGGUCUUCGGAUCGUAAAACUCUGUUAUUAGGGAAGAACAAAUGUGUAAGUAACUAUGCACGUCUUGACGGUACCUAAUCAGAAAGCCACGGCUAACUCCGUG
RNAcentral lists this ribosomal RNA (497 nucleotides) under uncultured bacterium. RNAcentral describes it as "partial 16S ribosomal RNA". It matches the Rfam family "Bacterial small subunit ribosomal RNA", at positions 28 to 507 of the family's 1533-position model. The record is from RNAcentral.